GAGUCGGCCGGGUGACCGCGGUGCCGCAAGGCGUCGAGGAAAGUCCGGACUCCGUAGGGCAGGGUGGUCGGCAACACCGACCCGGAGCGAUCCGCGGGACAGUGCCACAGAGAACAGACCGCCAGCGCGUCACCGAGAGGUGCGCUGCUGGUAAGGGUGAAACGGCGGUGCAAGAGACCACCGGCAGCCCAGGCGACUGGGCUGGCCAGGCAAACCCCACCCGGAGCAAGACCAAAUAGCCAGCAUUCGAGGGCUGCCCGCCCGAGCUGGCUGGUAGGUCGCACGGCCACGGCCGAAGGGUGCUGGCAACAGCACUCGCAGAUGGAUGGUCACCGGCCCCGCAAGGGGUCACAAAAUCCGGCUUACAGGCCGACUCGUC
Molecule: RNase P RNA, 379 nt
Filed under: uncultured Luteococcus sp.
Lineage: Bacteria; Bacillati; Actinomycetota; Actinomycetes; Propionibacteriales; Propionibacteriaceae
Description: Bacterial RNase P class A
Rfam family: Bacterial RNase P class A
About the family: Ribonuclease P (RNase P) is a ubiquitous endoribonuclease, found in archaea, bacteria and eukarya as well as chloroplasts and mitochondria.
Source: RNAcentral